Molecule: ribosomal RNA, 460 nt
Filed under: uncultured bacterium
Lineage: Bacteria
Description: partial 16S ribosomal RNA
Rfam family: Bacterial small subunit ribosomal RNA
Source: RNAcentral
CCUACGGGUGGCAGCAGUGAGGAAUAUUGGUCAAUGGGCGCGAGCCUGAACCAGCCAAGUAGCGUGAAGGAUGACGGCCCUACGGGUUGUAAACUUCUUUUAUAAGGGAAUACAGUGAGCCACGUGUGUCUUUUUGUAUGUACUUUAUGAAUAAGGAGCGGCUAACUCCGUGCCAGCAGCCGCGGUAAUACGGAGGGUCCGAGCGUUAUCCGGAUUUAUUGGGUUUAAAGGGAGCGGAGAUGGGUUGUUAAGUCAGUUGUGAAAGUUCGCGGCUCAACCGUGAAAUUGCAAUUGAUACUGGCAGCCUUGAGUACAGUUGAGGUAGGCGGAAUUCGUGGUGUAGCGGUGAAAUGCUUAGAUAUCACGAAGAACUCCGAUUGCGAAGGCAGCCUACUAAACUGCCACUGACAUUGAGGCUCGAAAGUGUGGGUAUCAAACAGGAUUAGAUACCCUUGUAGUC